UAUAUGCCGGUUAGUGGAUGGCUCGGUUCGAGAGCUGAUGAAGGGCGUGCCAAGCAGCGAUAUGCUCCGGGAAGGUGCAGGGAGCCUGUGAUCCGGAGAUCCCCGAAUAGGACAUCCCGAUACUUCGGUAUCAAUCCGUUGAGGAUGGGGAACGCCCCGAAUUGAAACAUCUUAGUAGGGGCAGGAAAAGAAAUCAACCGAGAUGUCGCGAGUAGAGGCGAUCGAAAACGACACAGUUCAAACCGAAUCCCUUUGGGGAGAUGUGGUGUUGUAAGCCUCCCGUCUGGUGCAGAUAUCUCAAACGGAAGUCACCUGGAAUGGUGUUCCUGAGAGGGUGAAAGACCCGUACGUAUACCGAUAUCUGUUCCUGGGAGUGUCUUGAGUAGUGCGGGUCGGAAUUCUCGCAUGAAUCCGGGGGUCAUCAACCUCCAAAACUAAAUACUUCUCGAAACCGAUAGCGAACUAGUAGCGUGAGCGAAAGCUGAAAAGUAUCCCUAAAAAGGAUGUGAAAAGCGCCUGAAACUAACCGGUGACAGUGUGUUAUGGCAUGCAAGGAACUUCUGCGCGAAAGAACCCGUCGCGAGGCGGUAGUAUGGGCGACAGUUGCCGAUGUCAUAACGUACGUUUUGAAGAACGGGCCAGAGAGUUUAUUCUAUAGGCGAGGUUAACCCGGAAGGGGAGCCGAAGCGAAAGCAACAGGUUCGUAGCAUUUAUGCAUGGAACGGCGUAUUCAACGUGCGUGGAGUCUAUAGGGUAAGACCCGAAACCCGGUGAUCUAUGCGUGGGCAGGUUGAAGCGUGCCGAAAGGUGCGUGGAGGACCGCAGGCGGUUUUGAUAUGCAAAUCAUUCGCGUGACCUGCGUAUAGGAGUGAAAGAUUCAUCGAACCGGGAAUCAGCUGGUUCCCCUCGAAACAUGCCGCAGCAUGACCUCGUCGGAGAUGGUUGGUGAGGUAGAGCACUGAUUGAGGAUCCCGGGGGAGAAAUCCCUCGCUCUUCUGUCAAACUCCAAACUCCCCAACGUCUGAGAUGACGGGUAGUCCGGACUACGGGGUAAGCUUGUAGUCCGUAAGGGAGACAACCCAGACCGUGGUUNNNNNCCUUUAAAAAGUGCGUAACAGCUUACCAGUCAAGGUUUGGGGCGCAGAAAAUGGACGGGGCUAAAGCCUACUGCAGAGACCACGGCGCACCGGUUAACCCGGUGAUCGCGUAGAGGGGCGUUCUGCAUGGACAGAAGCAGGGGCGUAAGGUCCUGUGGACCGUGCAGAAAUGAGAAUUCUGGCAGUAGUAGAAGCAUAGAACGGUGAGAAUCCGUUCCGCCGAAAGGGCUAGGUUUCCUCGGCAAUGUUCGUCAGCCGAGGGUUAGUCGGUCCUAAGAUGUGCCGUAACUCGAGCAUGUCAACAGGGAAACAGGUUAAUAUUCCUGUACCAUACAUUCGUAGUCGUAAGACCCUGACGCUUCGGGAUAUACCAUGCGAAAUUGUCGUUUCGUUCAAGCGUUCAAAGCGGUGGAGUACCGUCAUGGUGAGAAACCGCAGAAGACGUGAUGAGGUAACAUGGUCAACUCCUGGAGCCCGUGAAAAAGGGAGUGUAUGUCCGUACUGAGAACCGACACAGGUGCCCCUGGUUGAAAAGACCAAGGCGUAUCGGAGCUAAUUGUGGUAAGGGAACUCGGCAAAAUGGCCCCGUAACUUCGGGAGAAGGGGUGCCUGCCUGGUGAUCAGGCAGGUCGCAGUGACCAGGGAACUCCAACUGUCUAAUAACAACACAGCAGACUGCAACUCCGUAAGGACUCGUAUAGUCUGUGAAUCCUGCCCAGUGCGGGUAUCUGAACACCGAGUACAAUCGGACGAAGGACCCGUAAACGGCGGGGGUAACUAUGACCCUCUUAAGGUAGCGUAGUACCUUGUCGCUUAAUUGGCGACUUGCAUGAAUGGAACAAUGAGAGUUCUACUGUCCCUACCACAAAUCCGUUGAACCUUUUAUCCUAGUGCAGAAACUAGGGACUCCUGAUGGGAAGUGAAGACCCCGUGGAGCUUUACUGCAGCCUGUCGUUGUAGUACGGUAUUGCAUGCGCAGAGUAGAUGGGAGAUGUUAAUCCGUUCCUUCCGGGGAACGGGGAGUCAACAAUGAGACACCAUCCUUGCUCUGCUGUACUACUCACUCUUCUUGAAUGAAGAGGACAUCGGUAGGUGGGCAGUUUGGGUGGGGCGCCACACCCUCGAAAAAAUAUCAAGGGUGCCCUAAGGUCAACUCAUGUGAGUCAGAAACUCACAGAAGAGUGUCAAGAGCAUACGUUGGCCUGACGCUAUGACGCAAAGCAAGUCAUGGCGAGAGGAAACUCGGGUCUAACGAACCAAUACGCCCUGUUGAUGAGGGCUAUUGACUACAGAAAAGCUACCCCGGGGAUAAUAGAGUCGUCGCCGGCAAGAGCACAUAUCGACCCGGCGGCUUGCUACCUCGAUGUCGGUUCUUUCCAUCCUGGCCGUGCAGCAUCGGCCAAGGGUGAGGUUGUUCGCCUAUUAAAGGAGAUCGUGAGCUGGGUUUAGACCGUCGUGAGACAGGUCGGUUACUAUCUAUCAGGAGUGUUCGGAGUCUGAGGGCAAGAAAGAAAUAGUACGAGAGGAACUUUCUUUCGUCGCCUCUGGUGUAUCGGUUGUCCGACAGGGCAGCGCCGAGCAGCUACGCGGCAAGAGAUAAAAGCUGAAAGCAUCUAAGCUUGAAACUCAGCCUGAAAAGAGACUCCGUUAUAGGGCACGGGUAAAAGACCCGGUUAAUAGGCCCGGGAUGUACGCACGAAGGCAACGACGUGUUGAGUCCGGCGGGUACUAACGCCCAAAUCCAGGAAC
RNAcentral lists this ribosomal RNA (2846 nucleotides) under Methanocorpusculaceae archaeon UBA456. RNAcentral describes it as "bacterial LSU rRNA". It matches the Rfam family "Archaeal large subunit ribosomal RNA". The record is from RNAcentral. Lineage: Archaea; Methanobacteriati; Methanobacteriota; Methanomicrobia; Methanomicrobiales; Methanocorpusculaceae.